RNAcentral lists this non-coding RNA (803 nucleotides) under Paracladura trichoptera. The record is from RNAcentral. Lineage: Eukaryota; Metazoa; Arthropoda; Insecta; Diptera; Trichoceridae.
AAAAAAAAUUGUUUUAUUUUAACAAAAGAUUUUUAUUUUUAUAUUAUUUUAUAUGUAAGAAUUUUCUAGAAAAAAUAAAAGGUUUAAUAACUUUUAUUUAUAUUUUAUAUUCGCAGUAAUUAGUAUUAAUUAUUAAAGAGAUUUUGAAUUAGUAAUUUUAAUUAGUAUUGACAAAAUUUGUGCCAGCAGUCGCGGUUAAACAAAAAAUACAAAUAAAUAUUAUUAGUUUUAAGUUAAAUUAAAAUUUAAUUUUUAUAUAGUUGAUAAUAUUUUUUAUUAAGUGAAAUUUUAAAAAAUUAUUAUUUUAUUAAAAAAUUAAAAUAUUUAAGCUAACAAAAUUUAAUUUUAAACUAGGAUUAGAUACCCUAUUAUUUAAAUUAUAAUAAACUUUACUAGAUUAUUCUUAGAUAUAUUCUUUAAAUUUAAAAAAUUUGGCGGUAUUUUAGUCUAUUUAGAGGAACCUGCCUUGUAAUUGAUAAUCCACAUUGUACCUUUCUUAAUUUUAUUAAGUAUGUAUACCGCCGUCAAAGAAUAUCUUUAAAAAGAAAUAAUUUUCUUAAUUUUUAAUAAAAAGAAUGUCAGGUCAAGGUGCAGCUUAUAAUUAAGGUUUCGGUGUGUUACAAUAAAAUUAUUUAUAUGGCUGUUAAAUUGAAAUUAUUUAAUUAAAAGUGGAUUUAAUAGUAAAAUAAUAAAGAUAAAUUAUUUGAUUUUUAGCUCUAAAAUAUGUACAUAUCGCCCGUCGCUCUCAUUAUUAAAAUGAGAUAAGUCGUAACAUAGUAGGGGUACCGGAAGGUGUUCCUAGA